RNAcentral lists this ribosomal RNA (605 nucleotides) under Pedomicrobium manganicum. Its description in RNAcentral is "bacterial SSU rRNA". It matches the Rfam family "Bacterial small subunit ribosomal RNA", at positions 62 to 713 of the family's 1533-position model. The record is from RNAcentral. Lineage: Bacteria; Pseudomonadati; Pseudomonadota; Alphaproteobacteria; Hyphomicrobiales; Hyphomicrobiaceae.
UCGAACGCACUCUUCGGAGUGAGUGGCAGACGGGUGAGUAACGCGUGGGAACCUUCCCAAUGGUACGGAAUAGCCCAGGGAAACUUGGGGUAAUACCGUAUAAGCCCUACGGGGGAAAGAUUUAUCGCCAUUGGAUGGGCCCGCGUCUGAUUAGCUUGUUGGUGAGGUAAUGGCUCACCAAGGCGACGAUCAGUAGCUGGUCUGAGAGGAUGAUCAGCCACACUGGGACUGAGACACGGCCCAGACUCCUACGGGAGGCAGCAGUGGGGAAUAUUGGACAAUGGGCGAAAGCCUGAUCCAGCCAUGCCGCGUGAGUGACGAAGGCCUUAGGGUUGUAAAGCUCUUUUGGCGGGGAAGAUAAUGACGGUACCCGCAGAAUAAGCUCCGGCUAACUUCGUGCCAGCAGCCGCGGUAAUACGAAGGGAGCUAGCGUUGUUCGGAAUCACUGGGCGUAAAGCGCACGUAGGCGGAUUUGUUAGUCAGGGGUGAAAUCCCGGGGCUCAACCUCGGAACUGCCUUUGAUACUGCAAAUCUCGAGUCCGAGAGAGGUGGGUGGAAUUCCUAGUGUAGAGGUGAAAUUCGUAGAUAUUAGGAAGAACACCGGU